This 243-nucleotide ribosomal RNA is filed under the name uncultured bacterium. RNAcentral describes it as "partial 16S ribosomal RNA". It matches the Rfam family "Bacterial small subunit ribosomal RNA", at positions 524 to 766 of the family's 1533-position model. The record is from RNAcentral.
UACGGGGGGGGCAAGCGUUGUUCGGAAUUACUGGGCGUAAAGGGCUUGUAGGUGGCCAACUAAGUCAGACGUGAAAUCCCUCAGCUUAACUGGGGAACUGCGUCUGAUACUGGAUGGCUUGAGUUUGGGAGAGGGACGCGGAAUUCCAGGUGUAGCGGUGAAAUGCGUAGAUAUCUGGAGGAACACCGGUGGCGAAGGCGGCAUCCUGGACCAACACUGACACUGAGGAGCGAAAGCCGAGGG